This 450-nucleotide ribosomal RNA is filed under the name uncultured bacterium. Its description in RNAcentral is "partial 16S ribosomal RNA". It matches the Rfam family "Bacterial small subunit ribosomal RNA", at positions 354 to 796 of the family's 1533-position model. The record is from RNAcentral.
GUGGGGAAUCUUCCGCAAUGGACGAAAGUCUGACGGAGCAACGCCGCGUGAGUGAUGAAGGUCUUCGGAUUGUAAAGCUCUGUUAAUCGGGACGAAAGAGCCUAGUGUGAAUAAUGCUAGGAAGUGACGGUACCGGAAUAGAAAGCCACGGCUAACUACGUGCCAGCAGCCGCGGUAAUACGUAGGUGGCAAGCGUUGUCCGGAAGUAUUGGGCGUAAAGCGCGCGCAGGCGGAUCUGCCAGUCUGUCUUAAAAGUUCGGGGCUUAACCCCGUGAUGGGAUGGAAACUACAGAUCUAGAGUAUCGGAGAGGAAAGUGGAAUUCCUAGUGUAGCGGUGAAAUGCGUAGAUAUUAGGAAGAACACCAGUGGCGAAGGCGACUUUCUGGACGAAAACUGACGCUGAGGCGCGAAAGCCAGGGGAGCGAACGGGAUUAGAUACCCGAGUAGUCC